This 516-nucleotide ribosomal RNA is filed under the name uncultured bacterium. Its description in RNAcentral is "partial 16S ribosomal RNA". It matches the Rfam family "Bacterial small subunit ribosomal RNA", at positions 28 to 523 of the family's 1533-position model. The record is from RNAcentral.
GACGAACGCUGGCGGCAUGCCUAAUACAUGCAAGUCGAGCGGACUUGAUGAGAAGCUUGCUUCUCAGAUAGUUAGCGGCGGACGGGUGAGUAACACGUAGGCGACCUGCCCUCAAGCUUGGGACAACUACCGGAAACGGUAGCUAAUACCGAAUACUUGUUUUCUUCGCCUGAAGGAAACUGGAAAGACGGAGUAAUCUGUCACUUGGGGAUGGGCCUGCGGCGCAUUAGCUAGUUGGUGAGGUAACGGCUCACCGAGGCGACGAUGCGUAGCCGACCGGAGAGGGUGAUCGGCCACACUGGGACUGAGACACGGCCCAGACUCCUACGGGAGGCAGCAGUAGGGAAUCUUCCGCAAUGGGCGAAAGCCUGACGGAGCAAUGCCGCGUGAGUGAUGAAGGUUUUCGGAUCGUAAAGCUCUGUUGCCAGGGAAGAACGCUUGGGAGAGUAACUGCUCCCAAGGUGACGGUACCUGAGAAGAAAGCCCCGGCUAACUACGUGCCAGCCGCCGCCGUAA